Molecule: ribosomal RNA, 253 nt
Filed under: uncultured bacterium
Lineage: Bacteria
Description: partial 16S ribosomal RNA
Rfam family: Bacterial small subunit ribosomal RNA
Source: RNAcentral
UACGGAGGUGGCAAGCGUUGUUCGGAUUUAUUGGGUGUAAAGGGCAUGUAGGCGGUUAUGUAAGUCAAAUGUGAAAUCCCUCAGCUCAACUGAGGAAGUGCAUUUGAAACUGCAUAACUUGAGUAUAGGAGAGGAGAGCGGAAUUCCCGGUGUAAGGGUGAAAUCUUUAGAUAUCGGGAGGAACACCAGUGGCGAAGGCGGCUCUCUGGCCUGAAACUGACGCUGAAAUGCGAAAGCUAGGGGAGCAAACAGG